GGGGCACUGUGGUUGUGGCUUUGUGGUGCAAUCCACCAAAAUUCGGCACUUUUUAAAGUGCCACCGAUUUCAAGCACAUGCUUGAUUAACACUCAGAGAAAUAAACAGUAUGUUGUAGUGCUUAACUUUGUCUGGAUUGCUCACGUUUUUGAAAUGCAGUUUUGUUGUCCUCACUGGGGAAUUAAGAUCCCCCUACCCAAAUUAAGUUCCAUUGAUUGUGCAUAGGAAUGAACCAUUUAGUCAACAGGAUUAUGCCAGACAUGUAUUCAGUCAUCCUCCUCUCUUACUCCACCUAUAAAAUGGGGAUUAUUUGCUUAACUACCUCAUCAGAAAUGUUUAUGAGUGUCUUCGAAACACUUUGAAAGCAAUGCAGAAAGAACUAGUGGAGUGUUUGACACUAAGAGUGUUGUUUACUUCUGGUGGUUCAUUUUCUCAUCUGUAGAAGUAGCAUUUAUGCCUGUAAGAUUUAAACAACAAACAAACAAACACUUGCAAACCCUUCCACUUGUGGUUCAGCUUCUGUUUCAAAAAUUCAGAAAUGAUCUUAGGGGUAAACCUUAUUGAAUUCAAUGGGACUUAGUUCUGAGUAGACAUGGUUAGGAUUGCACUGCAAAUUCUCAUUGUCUUUACCAAAAGCCUUACCCAGGUAUGGUGUGAACAGCAAAGUGUCUUUACAACAGAAUACAGAAUUGCAAGAGAGGGGUAAGGCAAACAUGUUUCUUUUGAAAAUAUUUAUUGCUUUGCCCGGAAUUUACCUUUAGUACAUGCUUAGAAACAAGUCACCGUCUGUCCUGCCGUCUGCCAGUGAAAAUAAAUAGGGAAAAUUCUCAUUGGUUUUAUAUUGUUGUAUUUGUUUUGGUACAACGCUGGUACAGUGUUGGUUCACCUUUCAGAGUGAAACGCAAGGUACAGUUACACACUGAAAUGACUGCAAUGUUCCCCAGAUGUAAUAAUGUUACUUCAGAGAAAAUUAUUCACAGUCCAGUGGGGCUGACUCCCAGGUAAGUGGGGACAAAAUUGUAGCUUCAAAGACUCUAUCCCUUUCCCAACCCUCGUGGUCCUCCUUUUGAAACUACUUUUCUGAAUGGUACAUCUGAGUAGGUGAGACAGACAAAAUAUAUCUAGGGACUUACUCGAUGAGUGGUGGUAAUCAGAUCUGGAUAUAUUUGAAGGGCAGUCUGUGCUUCAGCCAGUUUAAAGAGAAAGAGUUUGGAUUAAAGCCAGUUAAUUCUCAGUGACUUCCACUGGAUAUUUAUAUUAUUUUAUUCUUGGGUAUUAUGUAAUUUAUUUUUGCUGUCUUUGGUUUUUAAAGAGCCGGGGUGUGCCUGUAAGUACUUGAUCUUAUAAAAAUGCAGAUCUCUUUCUCUCCCAUGUGUUGCUUGUUGAUACAGCCUACUGAGAAUUUUUCCUUCUCUGUCCUUCCGUUGGGAGCUGCCCAACAUAACUUGCACAGAGUAAGAGAGAUAACUCCAGCACCUAUAUAUUCUUUAAGGCCAAUUUUAUUUUCAGAAGUUGUGGUAUGUGUAUCUCCCUAGAAAGAUUGCUAAUAGAGGCAUAAACUGCAAUCACACUUGCUGCAGAAUGGGAUUUUGGUUUUUAGAGUCAAUUCAGAAGUGUAGCUGAAUGUAUUUACUUAUUUACUCAUUCACUCGUUCACAAUAUUUAUAUGCUGCCCAAUAACAGAGUUUUCUGGAUGGCUUUUAAUAACAGUAAAAUGCAAGUGCAAACAAUAAAAUAUAAACCAGAACAAAAUCAGUAUAACAAAUCCUCACCAAGAAAUAAAUUUUAGAUUUUAAAAUGUAAGAGUCGAAGGGCUAGGAAAAUAAAAGGGUCUUGGCCCAAAAGGACCACAAAGUGAGCACUAGGCACGUCUUUCUGGGGAGACCAUUCUACAGCCAGGAUGCAAACUGCAAAAAUAGCUGUUUUCCGCUGUUGUCACCCAAUAAUUUCGGGGGGGGGGUUAAAAAGAGGUGAGCCCAGAUGAAUAUAGCUCACAUGUUUGGAAGCACUCAUAUGUCAGCAUCUCCCUGGAAGUAGAAACUCUCCCUUCAGUGGAAAUGUUAAAAUAAAAACAGCAUAUUUGAACAGGGUGCCUAUUGCCCUGCCCUGGGGUAGGCUUGAGCUAUUCAUUGUCGAAUUUUUGGAGACCUGGUGCAACAUAGUUCAAAAUAUCAGGCACAGCAGGGGACUAUGUGUAUCUCACUUAAAAAUAGGUUGAUGUGCUGCUAAUACAGGUACAGCUCACACACAUGUGCACACCCAGGAGAGAUGUGGCGGGCCCUCUGUUCACAUAAGCAGGGACAGAGGAGGUGAAGCUUCUGCUGUCUAAUACCACAUCCAAGUAGCGUGUUCAGGUGGAACAAGAGCAGCCAUUGAACAACUGCUUCCUUGGUGGCCUGCCAUGGAUUUGGGGCUAUGCACCUUUUCCUUGCAUGCCUUCUUUCCCUCUGCCUCCUUGCAGGGUGGCAAAAAAGAGGAGGGGAGGCGUGUCCCCAGAACUGGGCCAAAUAAAGUUGCACUGUGUUUUUGAAGCUGGGAAGCUGAAAUAAGAGACCUUCAUUUAGCCACCUUCAAGAGCCUUAAAUCAGGUUCCAUGGAAACUACUUAUAGUCUCCCUGGUUGAUGGCUGCAAUGGGAGGGGGGAAGUCCUUCUCCAGUCACUUUCCAGCCUCUCUUUAUCAACCUUGCAGCUCUCCUCCCUUCUCCUUCCAUCCCUUUUCUAUUACAGGAGAGAGAAGAAGAUAUGUGUACCGUGUCAAUGUCUGUUCAUUUCUGGGGGGUUCUUGUCUGCUCCAAUGGGCAACAAUUUCCCCUGGGCUACCAGUGAAGGAACUCCAUGGUUAAAGGGCCUAUAUUGUACAUCCCACUAUGAGUUCAUCUUUCUGAGUUUGCUGCUGUAUUUAAGAGUUUAUUGAAUGGAAUAUGUUAGGGAUAUCCUUGUACCUGCUGGUGUGUUGAGCACUUGUUCUCGCCACAGGGUUUUGUUAAGAUGAUGCCUGUGAAAAUGAAGAUAGCAAAGUGCAAGCGUUUAUUUUAAUCUUCUGUGUUUGCUUGUUUGCUUUUUAAAUGAUUUGUUCUUAAAAGUCUUGGUUGCUAAUUAUAUUGUAAAAUCAAGGUACUGUACAUUUUUUGGCAGAAAGGGGGGGAAGUAAAGAAAUCCAAAUAAAACUGUUUCUGAAAUC
Molecule: non-coding RNA, 3182 nt
Organism: Podarcis lilfordi (Lilford's wall lizard)
Lineage: Eukaryota; Metazoa; Chordata; Lepidosauria; Squamata; Lacertidae
Source: the annotation of a GenBank genome assembly